This 1062-nucleotide long non-coding RNA is filed under the name Spirodela polyrhiza (greater duckweed). RNAcentral describes it as "long non-coding RNA (SPOL_LNC002221)". The record is from RNAcentral. Lineage: Eukaryota; Viridiplantae; Streptophyta; Magnoliopsida; Alismatales; Araceae.
UGGGUUCGCAUUCAUCUUGCGGAGGACGGAACUUUCAAAGCGGUGGGGAAUGGAAAACUCAAAUCGAACUUCUUUCUGGAAGUAUGAGAAAAACCAUAUCACCAGCUAAUUACAGAUCGAAUUGCAGUGACGGUGAUGGCGGCGGUGAAGGGCAGAAGGGAAACAGGGGAGGUACACAGGGUGGGAGGAAGGAGAUUCGGGGGGUUUCCUCCUCAGGAAGUGGGGAUGACUUUCUUGACGAUCUCGUCGCUGAGGGCCGCGAUCUGGGAAUCGAGGGCUUUGAUGGUGUCCUCCUUCUGGCGGUCAAGGUUGGCAAGGGCCUCCGCCAGCUCCGCCUCCACCCGCUUCCUCCCCUCCGCCAGCUUCGCCUCCAGCUCCGCCGUGGUCUCCUUCUUCAUCUGGUUCAGCGCCGCCGAGAUCUCCGCCCGCGCCGCCUUCAUCACCGCCGCCGCCUGCUCUUCCAUCUGCUUCACCUCCGAGGAGGUGUCCUUGACAUCUCCCAGCUUCGACCUGAUGGCGGCGUCCCGCUCGUCCAUGAACUUACCCAGAGGCGUGAAGUAGAUCUUGUCCAGAGCCACCAUCAGCAAGAGGAACUCGGCGGCGAUGGCGGGCAGGGUCAGAUUGAAGUCGAACAGCGCCGCCUUCUCAAUCUCCGCGGCGAGGGCGGGGAGAGGGGAGGCUCCCCAAGACGCCGCCACCAGACCCGCCGCCAGGGCGGCCGCCUUGCCCCCGUGCUGGCGCUGGAGGGAGAUCACGGCGAGCUUCAGCUGCUGAAAUCUGCUGGGUGAAACCUGCUGCGGCUGCUUGGACGCCGAGGCGACGGCAGGCAGCAGGAUCCUCGAUGGGGUCCUGCAGGAAGCCAUGACUGCGCUCGCCAUGGAUCUGGCCCUCUCUAGCUUGACUCCUCUGCUCUCUCUUUCUCUCUCUUCCCCUUCUCUGGUUUUUCUGGGUCUGUGGAAGAAGGGGGGAGGGGGAUAUCUGGUGAGGGGUGUGGUAGGGGAAAGAAGGGGAAUCACACGGUACCCUAUCCGAUCUCUCGGCCACACAAAAGCGAACCUUUCG